Molecule: ribosomal RNA, 397 nt
Filed under: uncultured bacterium
Lineage: Bacteria
Description: partial 16S ribosomal RNA
Rfam family: Bacterial small subunit ribosomal RNA
Source: RNAcentral
AUACGUAGGGGGCAAGCGUUAUCCGGAUUUACUGGGUGUAAAGGGAGCGUAGACGGCAUGGCAAGUCUGAAGUGAAAGCCCGAGGCUCAACCACGGGACUGCUUUGGAAACUGUUAAGCUAGAGUGCAGGAGAGGUAAGUGGAAUUCCUAGUGUAGCGGUGAAAUGCGUAGAUAUUAGGAGGAACACCGGUGGCGAAGGCGGCUUACUGGACUGUAACUGACGGUGAGGCGCGAAAGCGUGGGGAGCAAACAGGAUUAGAUUCCCUGGUAGUCCACGCUGUAAACGAAGAUUACUAGGUGUUGGGGACCUAUUGGUCUUCGGUGCCGCAGCAAACGCAUUAAGUAAUCCUCCUGGGGAGUACGUUCGCAAGAAUGAAACUCAAAUGAAUUGACGGGG